UGUUACCAGUUGGAUCUUAUGAGAAGUUACCCGAAAUAUUAAAAAAGUAACCUUUUUGUGUAAAAAGUAACCUUUUGACUACUACUACUCUUGCUUUUUGCGUUCCACAGCAUGGCUAAACCACCAUUUCAGCCUCUGGGGGCUAAAUACUAAAUUACUACAAACCGAAGGAGAUUUUACUCGUAAAUAGAAUCAUCUUAAGUAAGGCCCUGAUUGUUUGCCUUUUACUUAUGGGAUAAGAAAAAUACAAUUAAAGAGCAAGGAUUUAAAAAACAGUAGACGUUAAUUUCUUAAAUUCAUACUUGAUUUUUUUAAGAAAUUCAAUGUGACUGCAACUUGCUUAUUUCGCAACGUCGAUUGUAACGUCUUCAUUUAUAGUGAGAUUGACACAGAAACAUCGAUGAGUUCUUGAGCAUUUGUCCGCAUUUCUUGAUUUAACGACCGUUCUGUUUUAGAUAUACGAAAUUGUAAGUUAAUUCUAAAAAUUCCGAAAUAUCACGUAAAAGUAACCUUUUUAUUAAUGUAACCUAAAAGUUACCACUGCAGUCAAAAAAUCACCUAAAAGGUUACAAAAGUAACCUUCUGGCAACACUGAUUGGAUGUACCCACGAUGUACCCCAAGAGUAAAAUAAUAAAUAGUUAAUAAAUUGUUCUUGUUUCUUUCACUUGUUUCAGAUGCGUUUCUCAUAAUAUUGACAUUUCUUGUAAAGGUAUGUAGUUCAGAAUAACAAGUUAAGUGCUCAAUUAUUAAAUGGUGCAGAACUCAGACGAAUAAAGGAAAAAAGAAGUAUUUCAAAAUCUUAAUAGUAAAAAAUUCCUUUUAAGUUUUUUAUUCCUAUGGCAUUACAAUAUUGAUGAGUUUCCUUUGCCAUGUUAGCGUCCAAUAAAGGUCCAAUAUGAUACAGUAGGACUUGGAAAAUUUUUGGUUCAUACUUUAAAGCAAAAAAAAAACCUAAAGCCUUGGUCUUAAAACUUGGUAGGUUAAAUACAUGCAUCUCUAGCUAUCAUUCCUCUGUGUCUAUAGUCUCUAGUGAUCUGUGAUUUAGUCUAUGGCACUUAAUAUUUCACAUUUUUCAUGUAUCUAAUCUGUGUUUGUCUUUGACGUCUAUUCUGUCAUCUGUGGUUUAAAUUUAAACUUCAUUCAAAUCACAAAAAAUAACGAAUUUUUAUGAUGUUAUUUUUAAAACAAAAUACCUAUUUGAUAUUGUGAUUGUACUGCAUCCCCGUAACGAUAUUUAAUUGCAAAAAUCGAGGUAUUGUUGUAAUCAAUGCUAGAUUGAAAUAACAGUUGAUUUCAUUACUAUUUGUGAAAGUUUAUUUAUGUAGUUAAGAUGUCCAGUGCUUCCGUUACUUCGUCGAAACUUGAACUUGAG
Molecule: long non-coding RNA, 1373 nt
Organism: Bicyclus anynana (squinting bush brown)
Lineage: Eukaryota; Metazoa; Arthropoda; Insecta; Lepidoptera; Nymphalidae
Exons: 2
Source: RefSeq, a predicted model, not a curated record